RNAcentral lists this ribosomal RNA (893 nucleotides) under uncultured bacterium. RNAcentral describes it as "bacterial SSU rRNA". It matches the Rfam family "Bacterial small subunit ribosomal RNA", at positions 8 to 872 of the family's 1533-position model. The record is from RNAcentral.
AGGGUUUGCUCAUGGCUCAGAAUGAACGCUGGCGGCGUGCUUAACACAUGCAAGUCGCACGAGAACUCUUUAGCUUGCUAAAGAUAGUAAAGUGGCGCACGGGUGAGUAACACGUGGGUAAUCUACCUCUGAAUCGGGGAUAACAUUGCGAAAGCGAUGCUAAUACCGGAUAAUAUCUUUUAAGCUUCGGCCUAUCAGAUCAAAGGUGGCCUCUACAUGUAAGCUACUGUUUGGAGAUGAGCCCGCGCACCAUUAGCUUGUUGGUGGGGUAAUGGCCCACCAAGGCUUCGAUGGUUAGCUGGUCUGAAAGGAUGAUCAGCCACACUGGAACUGACACACGGUCCAGACUCCUACGGGAGGCAGCAGUGAGGAAUUUUGCGCAAUGGGGGAAACCCUGACGCAGCAACGCCGCGCGAGUGAUGAAGGCCUUCGGGUCGUAAAGCUCUGUCAAGUGGGAAGAACCUGCUUUAUGUUAAUACCAUAUUGCACUGACGGUACCACUGAAGGAAGCACCGGCUAACUCCGUGCCAGCAGCCGCGGUAAUACGGAGGGUGUAAGCGUUAUUCGGAAUUAUUGGGCGUAAAGAGCGCGUAGGCGGUCUUUUAAGUCAGAUGUGAAAGCCCGAGGCUUAACCUCGGAAGUGCAUUUGAAACUAAGAGACUUGAGUAUGGGAGAGGGAAGUGGAAUUCCUGGUGUAGAGGUGAAAUUCGUAGAUAUCAGGAGGAACACCGGUGGCGAAGGCGACUUCCUGGACCAAUACUGACGCUGAGGCGCGAAGGCGUGGGGAGCAAACAGGAUUAGAUACCCUGAUAGUCCACGCAGUAAACGGUGAACACUAGGUGUAGCGGGUAUUGACCCCUGCUGUGCCGGAGCUAACGCAUUAAGUGUUCGGC